AACCUAGCACACCUGCGGUGUGUACCUGCGGAGGGAUCAUUACCGAGUUUACAACUCCCAAACCCCUGUGAACAUACCUAUACGUUGCCUCGGCGGAUCAGCCCGCGCCCUGUAAAACGGGACGGCCCGCCCGAGGACCCUAAACUCUGUUUUUAGUGGAACUUCUGAGUAAAACAAACAAAUAAAUCAAAACUUUUAACAACGGAUCU
Molecule: unclassified non-coding RNA, 209 nt
Filed under: soil metagenome
Description: partial contains 5.8S ribosomal RNA, internal transcribed spacer 2, and large subunit ribosomal RNA
Source: RNAcentral